This 468-nucleotide ribosomal RNA is filed under the name Streptococcus constellatus. RNAcentral's name for it is "bacterial SSU rRNA". It matches the Rfam family "Bacterial small subunit ribosomal RNA", at positions 28 to 472 of the family's 1533-position model. The record is from RNAcentral. Lineage: Bacteria; Bacillati; Bacillota; Bacilli; Lactobacillales; Streptococcaceae.
GACGAACGCUGGCGGCGUGCCUAAUACAUGCAAGUAGAACGCACAGGAUGCACCGUAGUUUACUACACCGUAUUCUGUGAGUUGCGAACGGGUGAGUAACGCGUAGGUAACCUGCCUGGUAGCGGGGGAUAACUAUUGGAAACGAUAGCUAAUACCGCAUAAGAACAUUUACUGCAUGGUAGAUGUUUAAAAGGUGCAAAAGCAUCACUACCAGAUGGACCUGCGUUGUAUUAGCUAGUUGGUGAGGUAACGGCUCACCAAGGCAACGAUACAUAGCCGACCUGAGAGGGUGAUCGGCCACACUGGGACUGAGACACGGCCCAGACUCCUACGGGAGGCAGCAGUAGGGAAUCUUCGGCAAUGGGGGGAACCCUGACCGAGCAACGCCGCGUGAGUGAAGAAGGUUUUCGGAUCGUAAAGCUCUGUUGUUAAGGAAGAACGUGUGUGAGAAUGGAAAGUUCAUGCUGU